Molecule: long non-coding RNA, 298 nt
Organism: Prionailurus viverrinus (fishing cat)
Lineage: Eukaryota; Metazoa; Chordata; Mammalia; Carnivora; Felidae
Exons: 3
Source: RefSeq, a predicted model, not a curated record
UCAGGAAUUGGAAGCUGUUCAUCAUUUCUGAAAUGAAUCCUCCAAGCCCUUUCCCGGGCUGGAAGCAGGGUGUUAUAUAUCUGCAUGUUGAUGUUCUGGCAGCUGGACAGAAGAAGGGCAGGUGGCAGGAUUUGGGCCCAAUUUACUUGAGAAGACAUCUUCACAGAGCAUGUUCCCUUUGAUCAACAUGGAAAAGAUACUUCCCAUUGCAUAUUCCUGAAGUUAUCAUUGGCAUUAAAUAAGGGGCAGAAUGGCUGCCCUACAAGAAGACUCUCAUCGCUGGACAACACAACUUGGA